This is a long non-coding RNA of Mastomys coucha (southern multimammate mouse), 635 nucleotides long. RefSeq lists it as uncharacterized. The transcript has 2 exons. Lineage: Eukaryota; Metazoa; Chordata; Mammalia; Rodentia; Muridae. The record is from RefSeq and is a predicted model, not a curated record.
GGGGCCUGAGGAAAGGGUCCCAAAGCCUGGUGGAGUAGUUUAAGCUGUCACUUCCAAGCUCAGAAGGCUGAGAUAAGAGGAUUGCUACAAAUCACAGGUCAGUGCAGACGGCAUAGUGGGUUACAAAGAAACCAUGGCUACAGAAUGAGGCCCUGUCUCAAGUCACAAAAGUGAAAAGCACAAACAAGACAGAUGGUUUUCAAAAUAGUAGCCAUCCCGGUCUCAGCUAGCCAUCCCAGAUUCAACUAGCCAUCCCAGUCGCAGCUUGCUCUGAGCAGACCAUGGAAAUGGGAACGGGAGGCUCUUCAGCUGAGAAGACAGCAUCAGAAACUUCACAGAUCACCGAGAACAGGACCAGAAGUGAAACUGGAUCCACCCUGCUUACCCCUGCAGGCAGGAGCAGUCACUGAACACUGCCCUACAAACAUUGUGCCACAUGGUACUCCACUUCAGGGCCUUUUUCACUGCACCAGGAGGGUAAUAUGGCACUCCUAUGACCAGCCUUCCCCAUCGAAGAGCUGGACCUUACCUCACAACGCAGAGUAGCUCCUGAGUCCUGACCAGGAGCCAAAACAGUUCCCCAUUGCUUUGUUAUUGCUUCUUCUCAACUCAGAUGGAAUUGUCCAGAAAUGAAA